Non-coding RNA from Coemansia sp. RSA 2607, 72 nucleotides. Lineage: Eukaryota; Fungi; Kickxellomycota; Kickxellomycetes; Kickxellales; Kickxellaceae. The record is from the annotation of a GenBank genome assembly.
GGGAAGCUGGUAUAUCGGCAGUACGCUCGUCUUAAGUACGAAGAGAAGCGGGUUCGACUCCUGCGCUUUCCA